GAAAGCUAGCUGCACAUUUCUGUGCAGUAUCAACUACGUUGAAUAAAAUUCUGGGCAAUUGUUAUCAUGAAACGAUUCACCCAUGUGUCUUGACCAAAUUGCGUGCCAGCAGUCGCGGUAAUACGUAGAAGACUAGUGUUAUUCAUCUUUAAUAGGUUUAAAGAGUACCUAGACGGUAAAUCGAGCCCUAGCCGGGACUAAUUUGCUAGAGUUACUUAUAAGUGGGCUUUAAAGUACUAAUGGUGUAGAGAUAAAAUUUUAUAAUACCAUUUUUCUAAAGAAAAGUUAUGGCACUGGUAAAGGCGAAGACAUCCCCCUAUGUGAUAACUGACGUUGAAGGACGAAGGCUUUGGGUCGCGAAUAGGAUUAGAUACCCUAGUAGUCAAAGCAGAAAAUUAUGAGUGUCAUAGAUUAGACGGUUAGAUUUAUUCUAUAUUUAUUCUAUAAAUGAAAGUGUAAGCACUCCACCUCGAGAGUAAUAUGGCAACAUCGGAACUGAAAUCAUUAGACCGUUUCUGAAACCAGUAGUGAAGUAUGUUGUUUAAUUUGAUAAUCCGCAAAAAACCUUACCACAACUUGAAUAGGUAUAUCUUUGAUGUAUCAACAAGCGUUGCACGGCUGUCUUCAGUUAAUGUCGUGAGACUAUGGUUAGAUCCAUUAAAUUAACGUAAGCCCUUACUUUAUUUUUAAAUAAAGUAGUUCUCCGCUAUAUUGGAUAAGAUAAGAGGGACUAAGACAAGUCAUCAUGGCCUGAAUGUUGUGGG
Molecule: ribosomal RNA, 764 nt
Filed under: Lecania baeomma
Lineage: Eukaryota; Fungi; Ascomycota; Lecanoromycetes; Lecanorales; Ramalinaceae
Description: SSU rRNA
Rfam family: Bacterial small subunit ribosomal RNA
Source: RNAcentral